Molecule: small RNA, 645 nt
Filed under: Arabidopsis thaliana (thale cress)
Lineage: Eukaryota; Viridiplantae; Streptophyta; Magnoliopsida; Brassicales; Brassicaceae
Description: ATSL175700
Source: RNAcentral
AAAAUAUUUUUUUCAAACAACAUUUUCAACAAUGCAUCAUAUACACAUUUCCUAAACAAUGUUCGUCUUAAACCAAUUAAAUAGAGGGUAAUGCUGGGAUUCUCGAAACCUAAUUAAGAAUUUGAUGAUUAAACUUCUUACAUACUCUUUACCCUCGGUGAUUUAUUAUAUAGAUAAAAAUCUGCAAACUAUUCAAACUAUUAAAUAAUUCAUGACAACUAUACACUCAUUAUUUGAGUUAAGAUUACAGAAAAACAUCUUCGAGUAUGAGAAAACCGAUAAAAUAAUUUUAUUGAAAACAUAUAAUAACAAAAUAAAUUUAGUAUUAGUACAAUUAAAUAUGAAAAAUUAAAUAAUAAAUACAUCAUUAAUCUAUAAAUUAGAAGUUGAAGAGCUUACAUUAAUUAUUUAGUGGACAUAGGGCAAAUGUUAAAGUGAUGAUGUGUCAAUCAUAUGGAAAGAGUUGGCCAACUUUCAUAUAUAUGAUUGGAGUGAAUCGAAUCUACAUCAUUCAUCAACCAAAAAAUAAUCUAGAAAAAUAUAUAUCAUAAUUUCUAACUAAACUAAACAAAAACGCUCGUUGUUAUAUUUUAGCUUUUUAAAUAUAAUAAAGCUCGUAUUGACAAAGCUAACGGAUAAACCCUU